CCUGAACGCUGGCGGCGUGGUUAAGACAUGCAAGUCGCACGGACGUAGCAAUACGUUAGUGGCGCACGGGUGAGUAAUGUAUCGCUAAUGUACCCUGGACACUGGGAUAGCUGCCCGAAAGGGCAGGUAAUACCAGAUGAAGUAACUUGACCGCAUGGUCGAGUUCCCAAAGGUCCGCCGGUCUGGGUGCAGGCGAUAUCGUAUCAGCUAGUUGGUAGGGUAACGGCCACCAAGGCGACGACGCGUAGCCGGACUGAGAGGUCGGACGGCC
Molecule: ribosomal RNA, 271 nt
Filed under: uncultured bacterium
Lineage: Bacteria
Description: partial 16S ribosomal RNA
Rfam family: Bacterial small subunit ribosomal RNA
Source: RNAcentral